GAUGAACGCUAGCUACAGGCUUAACACAUGCAAGUCGAGGGGAAACGACAUCGAAAGCUUGCUUUUGAUGGGCGUCGACCGGCGCACGGGUGAGUAACGCGUAUCCAACCUGCCCAUCACUUGGGAAUAACCUUGCGAACGUAAGACUAAUACCCAAUGAUAUCCCACGAAGGCAUCGGAAUGGUAUUCAAGAUUUAUCGGUGAUGGAUGGGGAUGCGUCUGAUUAUCUUGUUGGCGGGGUAACGGCCCACCAAGGCAACGAUCAGUAGGGGUUCUGAGAGGAAGGUCCCCCAGAAUGGAACUGAGACACGGACCAAAAUCCUACGGGAGGCAGCAGUAAGGAAUAUUGGUCAAUGGGCGAGGGCCUGAACCAGCCAAGUAGCGUGCAGGAAGACGGCCCUAUGGGUUGUAAACUGCUUUUAUAAGGGAAUAAAGUGGGUCACGUGUGACUUUUUGCAUGUACCUUAUGAAUAAGGACCGGCUAAUUACGUG
This 492-nucleotide ribosomal RNA is filed under the name uncultured bacterium. RNAcentral's name for it is "partial 16S ribosomal RNA". It matches the Rfam family "Bacterial small subunit ribosomal RNA", at positions 28 to 507 of the family's 1533-position model. The record is from RNAcentral.